GACGAAGGAUGCAAGCGUUAUCCGGAUUCAUUGGGUUUAAAGGGAGCGUAGGUGGCCUUAUAAGUCAGUGGUGAGAUCUCUGGGCUUAACCCAGAAAUUGCCAUUGAUACUGUAGGGCUUGAGUAUAGUUGCCGUUGGCGGAAUAUGACAUGUAGUGGUGAAAUACAUAGAGAUGUCAUAGAACACCGAUUGCGAAGGCAGCUAACGAAACUAUAACUGACACUGAGGCUCGAAAGUGCGGGGAUCAAACAGG
This 253-nucleotide ribosomal RNA is filed under the name uncultured bacterium. RNAcentral's name for it is "partial 16S ribosomal RNA". It matches the Rfam family "Bacterial small subunit ribosomal RNA", at positions 524 to 776 of the family's 1533-position model. The record is from RNAcentral.